This 434-nucleotide ribosomal RNA is filed under the name Eukaryota sp. Its description in RNAcentral is "SSU rRNA". It matches the Rfam family "Eukaryotic small subunit ribosomal RNA", at positions 1325 to 1700 of the family's 1831-position model. The record is from RNAcentral.
CCGUUAACGAACGAGACCUCAGCUUGUUAACUAGUGGUAGUAAGCUUCUAUAUGGGUGAAGCUGGAUUUUAUCGUAGAGCUCGGGAAACCGUGACUCUGCGGUUGUCCAGUGGAUCCUUGAUGUCUUGCUGCUGACAUAAAACUUCUUAAAGGGACUGUUCACGUUUAGUGAAUGGAAGUGAGGCAAUAACAGGUCUGUGAUGCCCUUAGAUGUCCUAGGCUGCACGCGCGCUACACUGACGGGAUCAGAGAGUUAUUCUUCCUGGUUCGAAGGAAUCGGGUAAUCUGAAAAACCCCGUCGUGACAGGGAUCGAUUAUUGCAAUUAUUAGUCGUGAACGAGGAAUUCCUAGUAAAUGCAAGUCAUUAGCUUGCGUUGAUUACGUCCCUGCCCUUUGUACACACCGCCCGUCGCUAAUACCGAUUGAAUGGGUAC